Molecule: ribosomal RNA, 433 nt
Filed under: uncultured bacterium
Lineage: Bacteria
Description: partial 16S ribosomal RNA
Rfam family: Bacterial small subunit ribosomal RNA
Source: RNAcentral
AACGAACGCUGGCGGCAUGCCUAACACAUGCAAGUCGAACGAGACCUUCGGGUCUAGUGGCGCACGGGUGCGUAACGCGUGGGAACCUGCCCUUAGGUUCGGAAUAACUCCCCGAAAGGGGUGCUAAUACCGGAUAAUGUCUUCGGACCAAAGAUUUAUCGCCUUUGGAUGGGCCCGCGUUGGAUUAGCUAGUUGGUAGGGUAAAAGCCUACCAAGGCGACGAUCCAUAGCUGGUCUGAGAGGAGGAUCAGCCACACUGGGACUGAGACACGGCCCAGACUCCUACGGGAGGCAGCAGUGGGGAAUAUUGGACAAUGGGCGAAAGCCUGAUCCAGCAAUGCGGCGUGAGUGAUGAAGGCCGUAGGGUUGUAAAGCUCUUUUACCCGGGAUGAUAAUGACAGUACCGGGAGAAUAAGCGCCGGCUAACUCCGUG